CACGUAGGGUGCGAGCGUUGUCCGGAAUUAUUGGGCGUAAAGAGCUCGUAGGCGGUGUGUCACGUCGGCCGUGAAAACCUGCAGCUUAACUGUGGGCGUGCGGUCGAUACGGGCAUCACUGGAGUUCGGCAGGGGAGACUGGAAUUCCUGGUGUAGCGGUGAAAUGCGCAGAUAUCAGGAGGAACACCGGUGGCGAAGGCGGGUCUCUGGGCCGAUUCUGACGCUGAGGAGCGAAAGCGUGGGGAGCAAACAGG
Molecule: ribosomal RNA, 254 nt
Filed under: uncultured bacterium
Lineage: Bacteria
Description: partial 16S ribosomal RNA
Rfam family: Bacterial small subunit ribosomal RNA
Source: RNAcentral